CGUCUAUAUACGUAUAGCAUAUCAAUAAGCGGAGGAAAAGAAACUAACAAGGAUUCCCUUAGUAACGGCGAGUGAAGCGGGAAGAGCUCAAAUUUGAAAUCUUCAAGGUUCUAGCCUUGACGAGUUGUAGUUUAAAGAAGUGUUUUCUGUUAGAGGAGUAGCAAAAGUUCCUUGGAAUGGGACAUCAUAGAGGGUGAGAAUCCCGUAUUUGGUUAUUCUUUCUAGCUUUGUGAUACACUUUCAAAGAGUCGGAUUGUUUGGGAAUGCAGUCCAAAAUGGGUGGUAAAUUUCAUCUAAAGCUAAAUAUUGGCGAGAGACCGAUAGCGAACAAGUACCGUGAGGGAAAGAUGAAAAGAACUUUGAAAAGAGAGUUAAACAGUACAUGAAAUUGUCAAAAGGGAAGCGUUUGACACCAGUGUUGUUUUUCCGAAAAUCAAUUAAGAGUGGCUUGAUUUUGUGUUGUAUUGACCUUAUCAGCUUUCUUCACUCUUUUUCGAGUCCUUUCUUAAUGCACUUUUCGGUUAACAAGUCAACAUCAAUUUCUUUUGUCGUAAAAGGGUCAUUGGAAGGUGGCUUUCUUUUCGGAGAAAGUGUUUAUAGCCUUAUACCUUCUACAAUCGGAGAGACUGAGGUCUGCAGCGUAGAUCCUUCGGGGUUAGAUACACUUUGUGCUAGGUUAUAGCUUUUCAUAGACAACUUGUUGACUAUGUUUAGUCAUGUAGCUUACCCGCUUGUGCUAUUUUACCUACGCUUAGGAUGUUGAGUCAUCACACAUCUCU
This 779-nucleotide ribosomal RNA is filed under the name uncultured Neocallimastigales. Its description in RNAcentral is "partial large subunit ribosomal RNA". It matches the Rfam family "Eukaryotic large subunit ribosomal RNA", at positions 26 to 614 of the family's 3401-position model. Lineage: Eukaryota; Fungi; Neocallimastigomycota; Neocallimastigomycetes; Neocallimastigales. The record is from RNAcentral.